This is a small nucleolar RNA of Esox lucius (northern pike), 71 nucleotides long. The record is from Ensembl. Lineage: Eukaryota; Metazoa; Chordata; Actinopteri; Esociformes; Esocidae.
CUGGAUAUGAUGUAGAAAACCUCAACAGUGACUACUAGUGAUGUUUGUUGUAUUCAUACUGUCUGAUCCAG